This 253-nucleotide ribosomal RNA is filed under the name uncultured bacterium. RNAcentral's name for it is "partial 16S ribosomal RNA". It matches the Rfam family "Bacterial small subunit ribosomal RNA", at positions 524 to 776 of the family's 1533-position model. The record is from RNAcentral.
UACAGAGGUCUCAAGCGUUGUUCGGAUUCAUUGGGCGUAAAGGGCGCGUAGGCGGCGGGGCAAGUCGGGUGUGAAAUCUCAGGGCUCAACCCUGAAACUGCACUCGAUACUGCUCUGCUUGAGGACUGGAGAGGAGACUGGAAUUCACGGUGUAGCGGUGAAAUGCGUAGAUAUCUGGAGGAACACCGGUGGCGAAGGCGGCAUCCUGGACCAACACUGACGCUGAGGAGCGAAAGCCAGGGGAGCAAACGGG